This 450-nucleotide ribosomal RNA is filed under the name uncultured bacterium. Its description in RNAcentral is "bacterial SSU rRNA". It matches the Rfam family "Bacterial small subunit ribosomal RNA", at positions 354 to 796 of the family's 1533-position model. The record is from RNAcentral.
GUGGGGAAUUUUGGACAAUGGGCGCAAGCCUGAUCCAGCAAUGCCGCGUGCAGGAAGAAGGCCUUCGGGUUGUAAACUGCUUUUGUACGGAACGAAACGGUCCGGGUUAAUACCCUGGGCUAAUGACGGUACCGUAAGAAUAAGCACCGGCUAACUACGUGCCAGCAGCCGCGGUAAUACGUAGGGUGCAAGCGUUAAUCGGAAUUACUGGGCGUAAAGCGUGCGCAGGCGGUUUUGUAAGACAGGCGUGAAAUCCCCGGGCUCAACCUGGGAAUUGCGCUUGUGACUGCAAGGCUGGAGUGCGGAAGAGGGGGAUGGAAUUCCGCGUGUAGCAGUGAAAUGCGUAGAUAUGCGGAGGAACACCGAUGGCGAAGGCAAUCCCCUGGGCCUGCACUGACGCUCAUGCACGAAAGCGUGGGGAGCAAACAGGAUUAGAAACCCCAGUAGUCC